UUGAGGAGUUGGAUCCGGCGGCGAGGAGAGACAUCCGGCUGGGUGGACCACUGCGUGAAGGACCAGACGCUCGUCGUGGUUGCCGAGAAGAAGCAAAAGGAGGAGCUCAAAGAGGUGCUGGGCGACGGCAGGGUGGUGGUGACAGACGACAAGAAGAAGAGGGUGCAGCGCGCCAAGAAGAAGCCAGCGACGUUCCACGGUGAAGCUGUGAGCUCUCCAUCAACGGUGGUUUGUCUACAAGUUGAAGCUGAAAGGGUUGCGCAAAUCAGCUGCGAGGGAUACCACAGUAUGCAGAAGGAAGCCGCGUAG
Molecule: unclassified non-coding RNA, 309 nt
Filed under: Zea mays
Lineage: Eukaryota; Viridiplantae; Streptophyta; Magnoliopsida; Poales; Poaceae
Description: misc RNA Zm00001eb162600
Source: RNAcentral